UACAGAGGUCUCAAGCGUUGUUCGGAUUCAUUGGGCGUAAAGAGUGUGUAGGCGGUGCUCUAAGUCUGUUGUGAAAUCUCCCGGCUUAACUGGGAGGGUGCGGCGGAGACUGGAGUGCUAGAGUGUGGGAGAGGUAAGCGGAAUUUACGGUGUAGCGGUGAAAUGCGUAGAUAUCGUAAGGAAGACCAGUGGCGAAGGCGGGUCUCUGGACAGUUCCUGACGCUGAGGCACGAAGGCCAGGGGAGCAAACGGG
Molecule: ribosomal RNA, 253 nt
Filed under: uncultured bacterium
Lineage: Bacteria
Description: partial 16S ribosomal RNA
Rfam family: Bacterial small subunit ribosomal RNA
Source: RNAcentral